GGCUCGUUGGUCUAGGGGUAUGAUUCUCGCUUAGGGUGCGAGUGGUCCCGGGUUCGAAUCCCGGACGAGCCC
RNAcentral lists this transfer RNA (72 nucleotides) under Octopus vulgaris (common octopus). It matches the Rfam family "tRNA". Rfam says of the family: Transfer RNA (tRNA) molecules are approximately 80 nucleotides in length. Their secondary structure includes four short double-helical elements and three loops (D, anti-codon, and T loops). RNAcentral also lists the same sequence under 1 other name. The record is from Rfam by way of RNAcentral. Lineage: Eukaryota; Metazoa; Mollusca; Cephalopoda; Octopoda; Octopodidae.